This 253-nucleotide ribosomal RNA is filed under the name uncultured bacterium. RNAcentral's name for it is "partial 16S ribosomal RNA". It matches the Rfam family "Bacterial small subunit ribosomal RNA", at positions 524 to 776 of the family's 1533-position model. The record is from RNAcentral.
UACGUAGGUGGCAAGCGUUGUCCGGAAUUAUUGGGCGUAAAGCGCGCGCAGGCGGUCCUUUAAGUCUGAUGUGAAAGCCCACGGCUCAGCCGUGGAGGGUCAUUGGAAACUGGGGGACUUGAGUACAGAAGAGAAGAGUGGAAUUCCACGUGUAGCGGUGAAAUGCGUAGAGAUGUGGAGGAACACCAGUGGCGAAGGCGACUCUUUGGUCUGUAACUGACGCUGAGGCGCGAAAGCGUGGGGAGCAAACAGG